UACAUGGGGUGCAAACGUUGCUCGGAAUUAUUGGGCGUAAAGCGCGCGUAGGCGGUUACUCAAGUCGGAUGUGAAAGCCCUCGGCUUAACUGAGGAAGUGCACCCGAAACUGAGUAGCUAGAGUACUAAAGAGGGUCGCGGAAUUCCAGGUGUAGCGGUGAAAUGCGUAGAUAUCUGGAGGAACACCGGUGGCGAAGGCGGCAUCCUGGACCAACACUGACGCUGAGGAGCGAAAGCCAGGGGAGCAAACGGG
This 253-nucleotide ribosomal RNA is filed under the name uncultured bacterium. RNAcentral's name for it is "partial 16S ribosomal RNA". It matches the Rfam family "Bacterial small subunit ribosomal RNA", at positions 524 to 776 of the family's 1533-position model. The record is from RNAcentral.